UGACAGGCCGCGAAGCAAUUGUCGCGGUCUUCCUCUUCAAAUUCGUGCCGGAAUCAGCUGCCACCAUUCUCGGCGGUAGAACGUGAUCUGCAUCUUCCGAUAUAGAGUAAAGAGACGGUUUCCAUUGAGGGAAUGAACCAACUGAUCUCGCCGAUCCUCGUCUUCUCCGUCGCCUUCGUUUAUACGUAAUAAUGGUGUUAAUAUCAGACGAUGCUACAGAAGCUGUAGGUACAAGGAUCUCCUCUUCUUCUUCUUCUUCAGUUCGAUGUGAUCGUUUUAAUGAACAG
Molecule: unclassified non-coding RNA, 287 nt
Filed under: Hevea brasiliensis (rubber tree)
Lineage: Eukaryota; Viridiplantae; Streptophyta; Magnoliopsida; Malpighiales; Euphorbiaceae
Source: RNAcentral